CCGGAAUUCGUCAAGUGUGAGCUGUAACAACAGUAAGAAGCUUCGGCUUUAGUGGCGCACGGGUGAGUAACACGUGAGGUCGCUUUUGGUUCGGGAUAACGUCUGGAAACGGACGCUAAAACGGAUACGCCCUUCAGAGAGAAUGGGCGGAGAAAGUUUACGCCGAGAGAGGGGCCCGCGUCCGAUUAGGUAUUUGGUGGGGUAAUGGCCCACCAAGCCGACGAUCGAGAGCUGGUCUGAGAGAAUGAUCAGCCACACUGGGACUGAGACACUACCCAGACUCCUACGGGGGAAUAUUGGUGGGGAAUAUUGAACAAUGGGGGGCAACCCUGAUCCAGCAAUGCCGCGUGAGUAGGGUUGUGCCUUAGGGUUGUAAAGCUCUUUCGCACGCGACGAUGAUGACAGAAGCGUGAGAAGAAGCGUGGGCUAACUUUUUUUUUAGCAGCCGCGGUAAUACGAAGGGCGCGAAUUACUGUUCGUAAUUACUGCGCGUAAAGGGCGCGUAGGCAGCCCGAUCAGCCAGAGGUUAAAGCCCCGGGGCUGAACCUUGAGACCUGCCUUUUUUAGUUUCCGGGGUUGAAGUUCCGAAGUCCCCAGGGGAAAUCCCAAUUUCGAAGGUAAAAUUCGGAAGAAAUUGGGAAGAAACCCGGUGUCUAACCGGCCAAUUUGGCCGAAACCUUGGGGACCACCCAGGAUUAGUUCCCUGGUAGUCCACGCCGUAACGUGAAUUCCUAGCGCUGGGGUGCAUGCACUCGGGUUUCGCCGCAACGCAUAAGCAUCCGCCUGGGGAGUACGGCCGCAAGGUUAAAACUCAAGGGAAUUGACGGGGGCCCGCCCAAGCGGGUGGAGCAUGUGGUUUUAAUUCGGAAGCAACGCGCAGAACCUUACCAACCCUUGACAUGUCCCACUACCGGCUCGAGAGAUCGGGCUUUCAGUUCGGCUGGGUGGAAAAAAGGUGCUGCAUGGCUGUCGUCAGCUCGUGUCGUGAGAUGUUGGGUUAAGUCCCGCAACGAGCGCAACCCCUACCGCCAGUUGCCAUCAUUCAGUUGGGCACUCUGGUGGAACUGCCGGUGACAAGCCGGAGGAAGGCGGGGAUGACGUCAAGUCCUCAUGGCCCUUAUGGGUUGGGCUACACACGUGCUACAAUGGCGGUGACAGUGGGAUGCGAAGUCGCAAGAUGGAGCCAAUCCCCAAAAGCCGUCUCAGUUCGGAUUGCACUCUGCAACUCGGGUGCAUGAAGUUGGAAUCGCUAGUAAUCGCGGAUCCCCCCGCGGUGAAUACGUUCCCGGCCUGUACACAAACACCCCAUGGAGUGCUACCGAAGGGUCGCUAUACAAGAGUUGAUCAUGGCAGCCCCGGGCAUUCG
RNAcentral lists this ribosomal RNA (1366 nucleotides) under Azospirillum brasilense. RNAcentral's name for it is "partial 16S ribosomal RNA". It matches the Rfam family "Bacterial small subunit ribosomal RNA". The record is from RNAcentral. Lineage: Bacteria; Pseudomonadati; Pseudomonadota; Alphaproteobacteria; Rhodospirillales; Azospirillaceae.